AGAUAUGAUAAAAGAGAGCUUGAAAUAUUUAUUGAGAUUUAAUUUCCAAACUAAAAGGAAAAAAAAACACUCAUCCACACAUGCCUUUUAUUAUAUUCUUUGAGUCCCCUUAGAUUUCCCUUCACAUAACAACAUCAAAAUCACAUAAUCUAACUCCUCCCAUUCAAGCAUUUCCUCUCACACACAAACACAUACAAAGUGAAAGUAAAUUAACACAUCAAAUUAAAUCACUCUCUCGAUCAUCACAAUAUUAUUCUACCACACAUCAUUCAUGAUCAGAGGCUAAUCACAAUGAUUCUACUUUUUCAGUCUCGAACUUAUAGUCAUAAGUUGUAACACCUGUGAAAAGUCCAUCUUCCAAACGAUGUGUCACUUGUCUCCCAUCUUUCAAAGUGUCCCUUCGAGUAUACGAAAAAGGAACAUCACAAUAAGCUUGUGUUACCAUUGCACUAAACUUCACCUUCGACAUUGCCGGUAUCGUUAUUGUCUCUCCCGUCUCCACAAAUGAUUUUUCCUUCUCUGUUUCUUCCCUUGUGUUUUCACUUGAAACCUCCAACGAAAGCUCGAACUUCAGACUCCCAACCGUCGGAAUCUUUGUCUUAAACUUAGUAGCAAUUCCGAAAGUAGACGACACAGAUGAACUCCAUGUUCUUUCCACCUUCUUCUCAUACCUAAACUUCAAACUUAUUUUAUCAUUAACUUUAGUAUUGUUAAUAGCAACUCCUUUGGACACAGUGAGUAUUUUCUUCCCAUAAACCCUUGCAUCAUUAACACGAUACUCCACAUCUUCUACGCUUCUUGCAACAACAAUCUCCGUUGCUUCCAAACGUGCAGUCUCCGUUAUUGUUCCGACCGCAGCAUUAAGGCAAUUCGUCUUCCCAUCUGUUGUCAAUCUUUUGCAAAAACGGUUGUUGCCUUUGUUACGAAAAGCCACGAUAUUGUUAUCCACUUUUACAGGCCAAAACAAAGUGUUGGGGUUGUCUCUGUUGAUGUCAAUUGAAUCACACCAUAUCCAAUCCGGAUCUCGAAUCCAAUACUUACCUGAACUCACAUGUUUUAUACGAACGUAACCAUCUUGCAUGGAUAUUAUCUCGAACACAACGGCUGGAUCUUCUACGCUAGAAGCUGAGAAUUUGAGGUAUUUUCCAGAUGGUUCGAGAUAUCGAUCGUUGUUGCUUUUGAAAGCUACGUAUUUUGGUAGUAUAAAUAUGGAGUCCCAAUCCGUCACGGCCAAGAGGACAAGAUUCUCGUCAAUGGUUGUUAUGUCUUCCACUCUUGCAACUAAACAAUCGUUGUAAGGUGAAGGAUCUCCUUCAGCCAUGCACAGGAAGGUGUUGAGUUGAACAUGACGGAUGUAGUAGAGCCCGGUUUUCUCCGGUACAAAAAUUGGUUCGAACAAAGUGCACGACCAUUUCGAUGUAUCAUCUUCUUCUUCAUUGGCUACGGCUGCAAUGUAGUUCGAGUCUUCGGAUAAACGAACCCAGAAUUUGUUGUUGUAACAACAUCUUAUAUGGAAGAAACCUGGCUUGGUUUUCGAUGCAUGAACGGAGAAUUUUGAAUAUGGUCCGACGAUGUUCUUGCCGGAGAAUCGAAGAAGUCCGUCUGCGUUUUCACUUUCGCUUAUGUAGCGAAGAUAUUUGCCAUUGCGGAUAGAUUUGAGGGAGAGAUUCUUCGGGAUUACCUUUGUUAAUUCUUCAUUUUCUUCUUCUUCUUCGUAGUUUGAAUCAUCGAUAUCACUCUUCAUCAACUUCUUCUCUGCUUCAUCUAUGUCAUCAUCGUCUUCGUCAUCUUGUCCGGCUAUUGAAUCGUCAACAUCCUCUUUGUAAUCUUCUUCACGUCGGUCCAAUUCAGCUUCAUACUGUUUCAUUAAAUCGUCAUAGUUUUCACUUUGUUUAGGACCUUCUUCCGGCUUAUUUUCCUCCUUUUCAAAUACUCUUUCACCAAAAUCCUCAGUCGCCUCACCAACAUUUUCGAUCGCCUUCCCAGUGCCCUCCACGACAGUUCCGACACUACCAACGACCGGCGCCUUCUCAACCACAUCCCCCACGGUUUCAACAAUCUUUCCUGCUCCUUUCACAGCUCCUCCCAAAAUGUCAGUCCCAGCUUUCCCCAGUCCUUUGAAAAGAUUCAUCUUUUUUUUUCUCCUUUCUUUCUUUUCUUCUUUUCUAAUGUUUGUGGUGCAAUUGGAACUCCAUUGAAGAAGAUAUUUAUAGUAGUUUCAACUCACUUUGUUUACAUAAAGUAUUAUUAGAUGUGUAAUUUGUCCUUUCUUCGAGAUAUUUUUUAAGAACACAGGAAGAUAAAGUGUGGGGACAAUUAAUAAUACACUCCAAUUAUUUACUCUCAACUCAUCGCGAUCAAACAUGUACAUAAACCUUAGGACCAUAAUGGUGGAUUUUGGUGCAUCUCUCAUCCUAUACGUCCAUUGGUAAAAUUGAAAAACGAUAACACAGCACAUAUGGCUAUACUUCAAUCGUUGUAGAUUUCGAGAUAAAUAAAUAAACAAGAUAUAAUGUUAGUUCAAAUGACGUACAAGUGAAAAUACUUCAAAUAAAAUUGGCACGAACUCCAUCUUGUUCAAUAAAAUCUGCCACAUCAAUCAAAUAAACAAAAAAAGGCUCGAACACGGUUGCCAUCUUCCUAUGGUCCAUUUGGCUUGAGAGAAAUAAUAGAAUUUUCAGCAACAAAGCCAGAAAACAGAGAUUGAAUUAUGGGAAUUAGACAUUAAAUCUCUCACGGGACUAUGGAGUAGUAGAGCUAGACAUUUCUCUGACUAAAGAACUUCAAGGUACUUUCUUUUUUAAAAAAAUAUAGUGAGCUUCGUUGCGUUGGUGAUUUUCGUCCUGAGAUCAGAUGGUUGUGAGAGACCCACGUCUUCACAAUCAAGGCUAUUUUCAUCAUCGCUGGCUCUCAUAUUUUUCUUUGCACCAGCCAGGAAUCGAACCCGGCUAAACUUUUCUUUGCAUCAUCGCUGGCUCUAAUAUUUUUCUUUGCACCAGCCACAUCUUGAUUCCAAUAUAUACCGUUGUUUCACAGUCAUUCAUGUUGAUACUGAUUGAUGGUUUUCAUACGAAUAUUGAUAUUGGUUUAUCAUUUUACGUCUAAGUGAGAGAAAGCUUAUAGAAAAAGAGGGAUGAGGUUCCAUGUAAAUAAUCCAUGGUAAUCAAACUGAUCGCCCCUAUAGGCCAGAAUGAGAUUGAGCAUCAUUUGAAUGUCGUUAUCAAUAUCUCGUUUUACGUUUACAAGUACCUAAACUUGGUCUUAAGAUGUACUAUAGGUCUAUGAUUAGAAAAUUGAAAGUACAAAUACCAAAAUAAAAUAGAACUCGAAGUAUACAAACCAAUAUGGUAUUUUUCUAAGAAAAGAAUUACUUAGUUAAAAGCUCCAACAUGCUAUCAUUUUAGUUGAAUUGAUGAUAAUCCUCUGCCAAAACAAACAAAUAAUGCACAGCCUAAUUUGGAGAUUCCUAGCAAAAUUGCAUCAAGUUUGAGUGAAUGUAUGUUAACAAAUAGUUCAGUAGUAGGUCAGUUUGAUUCCUUGAGCUGAAUAAUGGAUUCAAAAAAGAACUUUCCAUCUGGUUCAGAUUGGUCUUCAAGAUCCUCAUAGCUUUGAUCUAUUCUCAAGUCUUUACGCACUUUUAGGGCUUCCUGAUACAAUGGUAAAAAUUCCAGGAAAGCAAAGAAGAACACUAAGAUAUAUGGAAUGCGCCAACAUGCUGAAAUAAUGUUAUUUCCAAUCUAUUUGUACCAAAAGAAUUCUUUCAGCGCGUCAUGCCAUCGAAAUCAGAACAUGAAAAUGUAAAUUAUAUAUUCACCUGUUCCACAUAUGCAGCAACAGUAAAGUUGAUAACUUCCUUAAUAACUUGUUUGUACACCUUAGAAGGUCCCAAGUAUCUCUAAUAGAAUGUCUCGGGGUAUCUGUUGAGAACAAAUGAUGAACUUAUCAGUAACUUCUCAUGUCUUCCCAAGUAAAGAAAACUUACGUUUGGGGUCUUUCCUGACAUCCAAUGAAGAGCAGCAUGUUUCAAGUCCAAUGAAAUGAAUUGAGGAAAAGAAAAAAGAAAAUUAAGCAAAUUGGUUUUCUGAUUCUUUCCUGACAUCCAAUGAGCAUAACUACUUGAAUUCCACAAAGCUUAAGAAGUGGAUACCACAUUUUCUUAUUCCUAUGGAUCGUUUUCGUAAAUGAUUACUAAGUUAAAAGCUCUAGCAUGCUAUAAUUCAAGUUGAAUUGAUGAUAGCUCUCAGCCAAAACAAUGAAAUAAUGGACAAGCUAAUUGGGAGAUUAUUCCCCAGCAAAAUUGCAUCAAGUUUGAGUGAAUGUAUAUGUUACAGAUAAUUCAAUGGUUUAGUUUGAUUCCUUGACCUGAAUAAUGCGUUAGAAAUUAAAUAAGCUAGAUACAUCAUCCAUAACACAUUAAUAGAUACAUUUCUAAUAUCAAGAUAUAUAUGCAUUUUUAGAUACAUGUACUUCAUUUAUUUUGGGUCUUUUAGGAAGUGGUUGAGUACUAUAUAUAGAGAUCAUUUCCUUCGCUUGUAUGCAAUAAAAAGGAAUUAAAUCAACAGAAGCAAAUUAAAGUUUAGAAAGGAAGUGAGUUUCAAGAUAACAAUAUUCUUCCCUUGUGUGUUAUUAAGUUUUCUAAGAAAACAAUUUUAUUUUUUUGAAAGUUCGUGUAAAUUUAGAGUGGACUCGUCAAUGCUUCCAAUGUAAUGACACAAGAAAAAAGAAGUUUUAUCUUCUUCAAAUUCGUGUUCAAGAUCCUCAUGUAUAGCUUUGCUUCCCAUUUUUGGAUCUUCCUGCUACAAAGGUAAAACUUUCCAGAAAAACACAUUACGAAAUGGAGGAAUGUGCCACAACAUGCUGAAAUGUAAUUUUCUAUUCUAUUUGUACCAACAUAAAACUUUCAAAAUAUCCCACUGUCCCAAUUUUAUGGUAUGUUAGAAAGUGAUUCGAAAAUGGUUAUGAUCACUUUUGCCAAAUUUUAAAUCACUCUAAUACAUGCCCUUCAAGAAUGGAUGGAAACCAGUUUUGUUUACGAAAUAAUGAAAAUUGAAUUUAGGAGUGUAAAAUUAAAUACUAAUUUAAUUUUUAGCGAUUUUAGGUAUGUUUUGAGGUGAUUUUAAAUGUGAAAAACGUGAUUUGCUUAAUUAGAUGAGGUGUAUUUUCAAAAGGGUAAAUGUGAUUUACUCUCCUUGUAAGAUAGAUGAAAUUCUUCUCUCAUUGUCAAUUACUUAUGAGAUAGAACAAAUACUAUAUCGAAUAUGGUAUCAAAUCCCGUCCAAUGGAGUCCAUUACUCCUUCCAGUACAUGAUCUCUUGUUCUGUGUUACUCUUUGCAUUGCUUAUCUUUCGAUUUCAUAAGUUAAAAUGACGAAGAAGAUAGAAAUCUAUCGCUAAUAGACCAUAAAAUUCUAUCACCGACAAUGAUAGAUUUUGUUAUAUUUGCAUUUUUUUAAAAUGUUUAUAUACUUAAUUAUUAUUCUUAGAAUUGACAUUAAUUAUAAUUAUCCUCUAAUCAAAUUAUUUUAUUUUGGAAUAAUAAGAGAUAUAGUAACUUUUGUAAGGGUCAUAUUCAAAAAUGACAAAACUACUUUUUCUUUUGAAUUUUAGCAAAUAGCAUUUUCUUCACGUGCAUAAUAUUUUAUAAAAUAUCAAAAUAUUUCCCUUCUCAACUGUAAUUACUUUGUUUCUACAUUGUAAUUAAUUUAGGUUAUGCAAUUAUCAGUCUUUAAUUAUUUUUGACCGAAAAAACAUAUAGCAACUCAUGUCAUAACUUUUUUCUUAAUAUCUCGAUACUCAACUAAUUGAUUCAAGCUUUUAUAACUUUAUUCAAUCUUACUCAUGUCAAAAUAACCAAAUUGAAUUUAAAUUUUAAAAUAAUCAAUUGAACUUCAAAAUAACAAAAUUAUUAUUUUUCAAAAUUUGAGAAUUUCAACGAUAGAUUGUAUCAAAAUUAAUAGCCUUAAUUGAAUUUCAAAAUUAAAAAAUGUCUACUUGUUUGCUAUCUUAUAUAAAAAAUAACAUUAAUGACAUGAAUAUCUAGAUAAUCAAAUUAUUAUUUUGAAAUUGGAAGAAUCUCAACAUUAAUUUUAUUUUAAAAUAACCAAAUUAUUAAUUUUCGAAUGAGAGAAUUUCAACUAAUAAUUUUAAAAGGAAAUUUCAACUCAACCCAAUUAUUAUUUUGAAGUUGGGAGAAUUUCAACCAUUGAUUUUAUUUCAAAAUAAGUUUUUAAUAUCAAAAGGUUGAAUCACACAAAAUAACUCAAUUAUGAAUUAAAAAAUUUCUUAUGCGCUUUUGUUUGCCAAAUGUUUCUUAUUAAAUUUUAAUUAAUUUAUUCUAAAAAUAUAGCAAUGUAUAUAUAUAAUUAGUUCAAUACCAUUAAUUCAUACAACCGUGUAAAUGAAUUAAAAUUAAAAUAUAAUUACAUUAUUUGUGUUUAGAAAGACUUUUAAAUCAUUCAUUUAACUUAAUAACAUUAAUUAAAUUAUAAUUUCUAUCGAUAUUGGUUUAAAGUGUAAGUAAUGUAAUUAUUUCAAUAUAUUGCAUUCUUAUCAAAAGUUUUUUACGUGUAAUUAAUUUGUGAUAUAAAACUAUGAGUUUAUCAAAAGUUUUUUCAAUAUAAUUAACUUGUGAUGUAAUUAAUUUCAACUCGUUAAUAGCUAAGAGAAUCCUAUCGUAACAUAUUUCUAAUAUCUCACGAUUUAAAAGACAUCAACAACUUUAAUCAUUUUUUUACUUCGUAGUUGAAGAUUUUAACAAUUUUAUUUUUUUAUUUUAAAAUAAUCAUAUUAUUAAUUUUUUUUUUUAAAUUUUGAAUUUGAAUUUGAAAAUUAAAAUUAGUUUUUGUAUUGAAUCUAUUUUUUUAUUAUUUAGAAAUUAAAUCUCAACCAUUUUUUAGUUUAAAAUAGGUUGAAUCUUUUAACCUUAAUAAUUUAGAAAUUAAAAUUAGAUUUGGUAUUAGAUCUCAAUUUAUUUUUUCAAUAGCUAAGAUGUUGUGUUUUUUUCUUAUCAAAUCUUUCAAAUUUCAUUUGCAUUUUAUUAAAUAAUUAAUAUAAAUAAUUGAUUUUAAAAAAUCAACUAAAAUUUUCCUAAAAACAAGGAAGAUAACUUUUGUAUUUUUUUUGUUCUAAGCAUUUGAGAUUGCAAGUUGUAGACUUGAAAAUCAAAUAUGAAAGAUGAAAAAUGAAGAUAAUGUUUGCGUACUUCAAAUAUUUAUAUUCUUAUUCUUGAAAAUGGAUGAUAAAGUUUUUUCUUGAAAAUACACGAAGAAGUUGAAGAUGAAACUGGAACUUCAAAUGGAAGAGGAUGAAGAUUGGAGUUUCCGUUUCACGGUGAAAAGAUCAGGGUUUGCCCGCUCGAAGAAGAUGAGAUCAAAACAGAAAAAUGGAAAAUGUAGACGAAGGAAGAACUUCAAAAUGGAAGAUGAGAAACGAAAAACAAAAAUGAAAAAUGUGGAAAAUAAAGAUAAAGUGUUAUGAGUUCGAUUGGACAAGUAUGUAUUCAAAAUUUAUCAAAGUGUAUUUGUUCUAUUUGGGCUUUUCCAUAUUCUUAUUUAUUGUAUUUUUUAAAAAAAAAAAAGCAGUUUUAUUUUCAACUAUCUCUAUUUAAAAAAAAAAAAAGAACUGGGCCUCCAAAUUUAACAAAUGAUAAUAUUUGCUUAUGAGGCAAAGCAAAUGAAAUGGGCUUUAAAAUACUGGGCUCCAAGUUCUGUGUCCACAAAUGACAAAACCCAACACUUUUGUAACUAUAAUAUCUCCUCUCUGCUAUUGCCCUCAAUUGGAAAGCUUCUCUCUACCUCCACUAUACCCUUUGAACUCUCUUCACAGUGUGCCACCGCCCUAUAAGGCAGAAUGGUGCCUUUCAAUGAAAAACUCACAACCCCUGAUGAUAUAUAUUAAUAAGGAAGACCACUCUCAUACAAUAUAAUAAGGAAGUUAAUCAUCCACCCAAACAACCUCCUCACCCUAGCUACGUAGACACCACCCUAUAGGUAAGUAAGUGUAUUAGAACAUCUCUAAUCUCCACUAACUAGGUAGACACCAAUGUAGCACUAUCAUCAUUCAUGUUUCUUUAAUGAUAAAAAGAACGAAAGGUACAUGAAACAAGGAAGCAAAAACAAGGACUAGAGGGAAGCCUAAGAGAAACUCAAAGUCAGAAAAUGAUGUGAUUUAUAGACCAUUAGUUUUUUUUUUUUUACUUUAUUCAAUUUGUAUUUUAAGUUGAAUCUGAUUUCAAAUAAUUUUAUUUUAUUUUUUUACAUUGAUUUUGUUUUGGUUUUACUUUAUCUCGGUUUUGUAUAUCAGUGUUGUGAUAUACUUAUAUUAUAUGUAUUAGUUGGUUAAUAUACUUACUACGUGAUUUUUGCCUUUUCAAAUUUUAUGUAGUUCAUUGGAGUAUUAUUAAGUAUAUGAAUGAUGUAACUCAGUGUAUCAUUAUCAAGCAUAUCAACAAUAUAUUGUUAAAGCAUAUCAGUAAAGUGAAUCAUUAUCAAGUAUAUUGAAUCAAGUUUACAAGUGUAUAUCAAUAGUAUGUCAAGUGUAUAGGUAGGACUUCAAGCAUAUCAAGUGUAUUUAAUCAAUCAAAUGUAUAAAGAAUACUAAGUGUAUCUGCAUCUACAAUGCAUUGGGUGUAUCAAAUAUAUCAUGUACACCAAACAUAUCAAAUUUGUUGAAUGUACCAAUGAAGCAUAACAAGUUUAUUAGUGGUGAAUCAAACUUAUAAGAUGAACAAGUUGCCACUUGUAUGGACACGGGGAAGCGACCUAAUUGCAUAAAGAGGUGAGUUCUCUCUUUGUACUUACUUGUGUUUUACUUUUCUCUUUCUUUCACUUGCGUGUAGAUCUGUGUUUACAGAUGGUUGAAGAAGAAGCUCUUAAGAAUCAUUCUGUUCUUUCUUUUACUGUUUUUUUGGUUUUCUUCUUGCUUAUUCUUUGGAUCAUGGAGAGAUGAAGAGAAGAUGAAGAGAGAAAGGGAAGAAGAUGAACACACGAUGUUUUAAAGUGGUUCGGCAAGGCCUACGUCCACGGUGCUUUAGGAGCCAUGUAUUAUUUCUUUUCAGUUUGUUGUUGUUGUGUGUAUGAAAUAUCAAAGAGAUACAUAGUAUUUAUAGACUACCCUAUGACCCUUAGUUGAACUCUAGUUAGACAAGAAGUUAAAACUUGCAGAUUUGACUAUAUGUCUUUUACAAAGAGAUAACUGUUUUAGUAAGCGCUAUUCCCACAUAAGUGAAGUCUUUAAGUGUAUUAAACUAUCAAGGCCUAAGGUGUAUCAAGAAGGAUCAAGUGUGUAACGAGGAGUAUUAUAAUGUGUAUCAAGAUGUUUCAUGUGUGUAUCAAAAGGUAUUAGGUGCAUCAAAAAGUAUUAGACGCAUCAAGUGUAUCUGUCGCCACGUGCCCAAGACGACGCGGAGCGGCCGACAUCCUCAAAACAGCUAGUUUUAAAAUAAAAUAGGAGUCGCCACCAACCUUUUUUACGGUGUGAUUGGACACCGAAAUAAAAUAAACAGUUUUUAAAAAAUGGUAUGUGAAAAAUAUAAUUGAGUUCGGGAGUCAUUUGUGUGUGGGAAAGGUAUUAGUUUGAAUUGAAAAACGAUGGCGAAAUUUAAAAUCUUGAAUUGAAAAUAUUUUUAAAUUUAUUUUAAAACUGAUGUUUUAUUUCAUCCCUCAUUACUCCAAUAUUUGAAGCAAUGAUCUCAUAAAAUAAGUGGAAUUAUAUUCAAUUAAUUAGACUAUAUAUUGAAGAAAAGUCUCACCUUAAGAAAAUGAGAAAUUAUUACAAUUUUCCAAAAUCUAUCAUAAGCUAGUCUUUGAAUAAAGAUUUUUUUUAAAACAUGAAUUAAAUUCAUUUUUUCUUGGGAUCAAAUCUCGGACUUCCAAAGAUGUGAUCCCUCACCUUAAGAAUUCUAGGAAAUCGGACUCCCAAAUUUCCUAAAUUUCAUCGUAAGAAUAUUUUUAGCGAAAUAGAAGUGAGUUAUUAAAAAGUUGAUUAAGGAAAACAUAUGAAAUAUAGAUUUAUAUUUUAAACUUUUUUUAAAAAAAAAAUAGAAGAAAUAGUUGUAAAGUAAAAAUUUCUAAACAGUUUAAAAAGGAAAUUUAAGAAAGAUCUUCAAAAUUAAGUCAAUAGGAAAUAAUGCACAAUGUAAUCAAAGAUAAUAUAUCCUAAAUUAAGCAAGUAAGAUAAGAUUUUAUUUUAUUUUUUAAAUAUUGGGAAUCGAUCUUGGACUCCCAAAGAACCGAUUCCCUCACCUCAAGAAUUUAAAAAUAACUAACUCCCAGAAUUUCUAAUUCCAUCGUCAGAUUUUUUUUAGAAGGAUAAAAUGUAAAGAUAAAUAUGAUAUAAGAAGAAAAAAAUAAUUGAUAUAAAAUAUCAUGAAAACAUUCAAAAGUGCAAAAAAAUAUUGAUAAGUUUAAAACUACAUAACAAUAAUUGUUAUGCAUGCAAUAAAAAUAAUUUAAAAUAAAUAAAAAGAAAAUAGAAACGACAGAUAACGAAAAUGAAUAGAUAAAUAAAAAUAAAGAAGAAAUAAAUAAAUGAAAUACAUAAAUAAAUAAUGAAAAAGGAAAGAAGAAAUAAGGAAACAAAAGAAAUAAAAGGAAGAAGAAUUAGGAGAGAGAAAAACAUUUUUUCUAAAAAAAGAAGUGUGGCCGCAAGACCCAUAAUAAUAAUUAUUAUUAUUAUAACAAAUAAAUAAUUAUAUAAAUAAAUCAAUAAUAAUAAGUUUUAAAUAUAUAGAAAGCCAUAGUUAUGAUAAUAAAGUUAAAAAAAAAAGUUAAAAUAAACAGUAAUAAAGUUUAGAAAUUUUAAAAAAAAACAGUAAUAAAAAAAUGUUAAUAACAAAUAAAAUUAUAUUAAUAAUAAUAAGUAAAUGAAAUUAUAUAUAUAUAUAUAUAUAUAUAUAUAUAUAUAUAUAUAUGUUUUUAAAGAGAAUAAAGUAAAGAUUAAAAAAAAGAGUCUUUAUGUCUUUUUUUUUUUCUCUAUUUUUUAGGGAGAAGAAAAGACUAAGGUUUUUUUUUAAGAAUUAAUAACAAUGAAAGUAAAAGAAACCAAGAAUAAACAAAUAAAUAAAAAAUAAAAAUACUUACCUUUGCAUAAAUUUUUUUCUCUUCCAAUUUGCGGAGAUUCUUUAACAAAAUUUUCUCUGACAAUUUUCUCUAAAGACAUUUUGUAAGAAAUUUUUUAUCCAAAGAAUUGUUUGUUUCAAAAAAACUCUUCUCAUUUUUUUCAAAUGACAGGGUCCGUAUUUAUAAACCGAGAGUGUACCACAAAUUAGAAAAAAGUAAUAAGAAUAAAAUCAAAAUUUGAUAUUAUAUUAAUAAAACAAAUUUUCAUUUUUCUAAAAUAAAUUAAAUGAGAUAUUUUGAGAUUUUGUGAAAAAUAAAUUAAUACAUCAAAUGAAUAUUAAAAUACUUUUAUUUAAAAUUGAUUUUCUUUUUUUCUAAAAUGAUUUAAGUAAGUGAAAAUUGAUAUUAUAAGAUUUUAUUUAAAACAAAUUCUUUCUUUUUUCCUAAAAUAGUACAAAUAUGAUAUUAAAAGAUUUUUAAAAAAUAAAUUGAUUUAAUUUUGUUUCCUAAAAUGAUAAAAAUGAAAUAUUAUAAGAUAUUAUGUUAUUAUUAAUUCUUUUACUUUUUUUUAAGUAAAUAAAUAAAUAAAUAAUUUAGCAAUUAUUACUAAUAUAAAUAUUUAAAAAAAAGAUAUAUAUGUGUAGGAUAAAAUAGGUGGCUACGUUAUCAAUCAAAUGUAUCAAAAAAUAUCAUGUGUAUCAAGGAGUAUCAUACGUGUGUAAAAUGUAUCCAACAUAUAUUAAUAACGAGGGCAUUUAUGACAUUUUAUUCUUUGCUGUGUGGACUGGGCUUUGUUAUGCCAUUUUUGCAAAUAAUAAAACGUGUGUUUUAUGGACUUAAUUAUUAUAACUUAUUUUUUUGAUGGUUGCAAGUGCUCCCUACAAAAAAGCCUACAAAGUUUAUAUUAGUAAAUAAUAAAUAAGAAAUGAAUUUUAUGGUGGAAUUAAAUUGUUAGUUACUACAAAUGUGAAAGGACAAAUUGUUGCAUAAUAAAAUUUAAAGUCUAAAUUAAAUUGUGUUUUAAACUAAUUAAAUUUUAAUUUGUGUGUGGUAGAAUGAAACCAAACAUUUGUCUCUUGUAUUUUAUUCUAUUUUUUUCCAAGUAAGUUUGUCCAUUUCAUCCUUUUUAAUUAAUUUAGUAUAAAUAUUUUGUUAGAUUUUUUUAAAGUAGAGUAGAAAAAUGGAUCAAAUUAUUUACAAAAUAUAUUGAAAAUUUUAAUAAAGUAUUUUAUGGAGUGAAGCAUCUUUGUCUUUAUUGAUUUCCUCUUCUCUGAAAGAGAGUUUGCAAAAAUAGCAAAACAAAUUAUGAUAAUACAGCUCAUGUCAAUUACAUUUUUAAAAUUGCAAAAAUAACAAAUUUAAAAGCAUUACCACCAGAUUACUGUGAUAUUUGCCAAAAUUGCAAUAUGCAAAAUAAAAUGUAUUAUGAGCUACUUUUUUCUUAAAAAAAAUUUCAUCUAAUACAAUUUCCCAAAUAAAAAAUCUCAUUUUUCCACCGCUCGCUUACUAUCCAAUCACCUUCGCACUUAGUCAAGAUCUUAUUGUUUAAAUUCGUUGAAAUUUACUUAACAUUUUCGAUCGAUCGAUGACAUCCAUCUGUAUAGUGAAAUAAUUACCUUAUGAAGUAACAACACAUCAAAUAACAGCUAUCAAUUAUGAAUGAAGAUAAAAAUUUGGAUUAUGAAAUAAGUGAGAUAAUCAAUAAUAUCCUCUAGCUAUAGCUAAAGUAAUUAUUAACCGUUAGAAUAGCUAAAGAAAUAGAAAAAAAUUGUUAUCGCAAUUGGGUCAAGGAGCUCUUUUAAGUUAUAAUCAAAACUUAAAUAAAGACAGACUCCUAUGAUUUUGUGUUUGAAUCUUAUCGAAGAUAAACUCACACUCUUUCUAAAUUUAUUGACCGCGGUUCAACUAUGGCUCUUUCUGAAUUUUUUGAUUGCAGUUCAACUAUUUAAGUCUUCAAUAUAUUUCUAAAUCCACUGUUGUUCAACUAUUUAAGUCUUCAAUAUAUUUCUAAAUCCACUGCCGUUCAACUAUUUAAGUCUUCAAUAUAUUUCUUAUCUAGUACGAAGUAAAAACCACUUGUAGAUCUUCAGUGAUACAUCAUAAUAAAGAAGUUCAACUAUGGCCCUUUCUGAAUUUUAUUGACCGCAGUUCAACUAUGGCCCUUUCUGAAUUUUUUGAUUGCAGUUCAACUAUUUAAGUCUUCAAUAUAUUUCUAAAUCCACUGUUGUUCAACUAUUUAAGUCUUCAAUAUAUUUCUAAAUCCACUGCCGUUCAACUAUUUAAGUCUUCAAUAUAUUUCUUAUCUAGUACGAAGUAAAAACCACUUGUAGAUCUUCAGUGAUACAUCAUAAUAAAGAAGUUCAACUAUGGCCCUUUCUGAAUUUUAUUGACCGCAGUUCAACUAUGGCCCUUUCUGAAUUUUUUGAUUGCAGUUCAACUAUUUAAGUCUUCAAUAUAUUUCUAAAUCCACUGUUGUUCAACUAUUUAAGUCUUCAAUAUAUUUCUAAAUCCACUGCCGUUCAACUAUUUAAGUCUUCAAUAUAUUUCUUAUCUAGUACGAAGUAAAAACCACUUGUAGAUCUUCAGUGAUACAUCAUAAUAAAGAAGUUCAACUAUGGCCCUUUCUGAAUUUUAUUGACCGCAGUUCAACUAUGGCCCUUUCUAAUUUUUUUUAUUGCAGUUCAACUAUUUAAGUCUUCAAUAUAUUUCUAAAUCCACUGCCAUUCAACUAUUUAAGUCUUCAAUAUAUUUCUUAUCUAGUACGAAGUAAAAACCACUUGUAGAUCUUGAGUGAUACAUCAUAAUAAAGAAGGUAAUUAAAAUACCUUCUAGAACAAAACUUUUUCGAGUUUCUUUGAAAUCAAAUUUGCAGUCACACACCCAAAACCAAGCAUAGAGCUUAGAUAUUUAAAGGCUUCAAUAAAUCUUCGUUACAUUAAUGAAGACCAAUAUAUAAUAAUAGAACGAUGUCACUUCAUGAUGGAUAGAACCAUCGUUUUCUAAUAGUCAUUUGAUAGCCCUUUUUUGAAUGUCAUUAAUUAAUUCAUUUGUGUCCAUUUCCUCCCUUCAAUAAUUCAUAGUCUCCGAAAAGAUCACAAAAGAAUACAUCAAACAACUUCUCUCCCCACAUCUCGAUUAUAUAAGAAGCAAAGCAACCCUUCCUAAACAAACCUAAAGAGUCAGCAAAAGAAAGAAGAAAAAAAGAACAUAUAGUUAAGUUAUGGAUGAAGAAAGCCAAAUCAACGAUCCACUGCCUAAAUACUUCACUCUCAGAUCGAAGCACAAUGAUGGUUUUCUUCGUUACAUUAACGCAGACGAUAAGACCAUGCAUGGGUUUCUCAAGUUCUCUGGAAGUCAUGUCGUGAACCCAUUCGCAAAGUUUGAAUUUGAAAAAGCUAAAGAGAAAUCUAACAAAGUCCUUGUUCAUAUCAGGUGUGUGUUGCAUUUAUCGUUCUCCAAAUAUUUCUGAACUCUUGUUUUUCUAAUCUGUCGAAAUUGUUGAUGAUAUGAGUUAUUCAACGUGUAUAUAUAUUAAAAAUAAUAUGUGAGACAAUUUGGUAGGAUGAAACGUAACUCAUCGUUUUCCUUUAGUCGUUUUGAUAAAUGGUAUGUGACAUAGUCUCUAAGAUAAAUUUUAUUUUCAGAUGUUGUUACAACAACAAAUAUUUGGUUCGUUGGUCAGAGAAAUCCAAGUACAUUGUCGCAACAGGGAACGAACUCAACGAAGACAAAACAAAAUUCUCAUCGACACUGUUCGAACUGAUCUACGUCCAAGAUCGAAACGCCUUCUGUAUCAAACACGUACAACUCAACCGUUACAUUCAGCUACGACGACACAGCACAAGCCAGUUCCAAGGCACUCUGUUCGCCGGCAGCACGGGAUUGGAAAACGACGAGACAGAUCUCUUAAAUAUAAUCGAUUGGUCCACCUUUUUCAUCCUACCAAAGCAUGUAGCAUUUAAAGGCGACAAUGGAAAAUAUCUGAGAGUCCGUUCUUCAGGGACCAAAUAUUUAGAGUUUUCAGGAUCCGAUGUGGGAGAUCCAAGAGUGGGAAACCAAAUCUUCACCACAUACGAUGGACAUAUAAUGAUUAAAAAUGAUAGCUUGGAAAAAUUUUGGAUUCGUGAUCCUAAUUGGAUACUUGGGGAAGGUAGUGAAAGCGAUUUCACUGAUCGGAAUGCUUUGUUUUGGCCUGUUCAGCUUGGCGAUGGCCAUGGCGUAGCGCUUCGAAACAGAGGAAAUAAUAGGUUUUGCAAGAGGCUGAGUACAGAGGGGAAGAAUAAUUGUUUGAAUGCUGAUGCGGAAAGCAUCAAUGCUGAAGCUAUGCUCCAGAUUGAAGAACUUGUCAUUUCUAGGACCAUUUAUGAUGUCAAUUUUCGAGUUUUAGAUGCUCGGUUCUACGACGAGACGCCCAUGACUAUGGUAUCUAGUGAGGUUAGUCUACAAUUAACUUAUUAUUACUUUCGUUCAAGCACUCUUAAUUUGUGAAGUUUUGCGAUGAAAGCUGGUGUAAAGAAAAAGAAAAAAAAAAAACAAUUUUUGGAAAAGCAAAAGAACAAGUUAUUAUCAAAUGAGAUUUUAAGAGAAUCCAAAUUCGAAAACAUACGUGCAGAUGGUGAACAAAAACAGCGAACCAGAGCUGCAAAGACUGAAGCUUCAGUAUGAGGAUACGAAGUCGUCGACAUGGACAAAUUCGGUGGGAAUGAAGUUAGGGAUGAAAAUGUCAAUUGAAUCAGGAUGUCCAGAGAUAUCAAGUCAAGAAAUAGAGAUAUCAGCUGAGUUCAAAGAGGAAUAUACAUGGGGUGAAACUAAAGAAACUAAGUCUACUAGGGAAGUUGAACACCAAGUCACAGUACCACCUUACACUAGAGUUAAAGCCAAAGUGUUAGCCACUAAAGGAUUUUGUGAUAUUCCAUAUUCAUACACUCAAAGAGACGUUCUAACCAAUGGCAAAGUUGAAAUUCAACAGUUUGAUGAUGGGAUUUAUACUGGAAGCAAUUGCUAUAACUACACCUUUUCCACAGAACAAGAAGAUCUCUGAUUCAAAACAAGAAGUAUUAACUAUUGAAAUUAUAAAAUUUAUCACAUGUACUAAAUAAUGCCUAGCAGCUGCUAUGUAUGUGUAUGCAGCUCUUUGGAAUUUGCUUUUGUGUUGUUUUUUUGCUUUGCAAUGUGUGUUUGUUGAUCAUCUAUAUUUUGAAGCCAAUAAAAUGUAAUCCAUGCAUGUUCUUAUUUCAAUUACUUUGGGCUUGUUUAGGGUUGAGAAGUGUACUUGAAUUCGUCCAAUUUUAUGAAAAGUAUUGUCUUAGACCAUUAUUUGGACGAUCUAUAAAAUUUUUAAAAGGGGAAGAAAAUAAGAAGGGGCUGCUUAAUUGGUUGGCAAUUUGGAAUUUUGUUUUAUGUUUAUCUCUUCUUCUUUUUUUUAUCAUAUAUACAUGAAUAUUCUUGUUUGAAUGCUUAUUUAGAUAUACACAUUAUAUUUUAAUUGCUUGGAUUAUAGAUAUUAUCUUUUAUUUAACUUUUUUUAAUGUGAAGCAAGUUAAAGGUAAAAAAACACACAGCAACAUAAAAACAUGAUUAAGAAGCCUUAAAAGAUGAAAUAAUAGCAUUUCUUAAAGCUGUAAAAGUUAUUCCUUAAAACGCUAUAAUUUUUUUUUUUCUUUCUUUUUACUUUUAAAGACUUAUUAUAACUUUUAUUAAAUAAAUAAUUAUAUGUAGCUGCAACUAAUUAAUAAUAACAUCAUAUUUUGGCUAUAAAAUUAUUUUUAUAGCUUUCUUCAAAUAUGCUAAUCGUAUAUUACAAAGAUCAAAGGGACAUUUGUUAAAAUAACAAAUUUAAAAGUAGAUUGUCUUUUGAUAACUCUUUGAGAUAGUCGUCUGAUAUAUCUAAUUACUUGUCUUAUUUGUAAUACGAAAAAAAGGAUGUGCUAUAGACUGCUGUUUUCUAAAUUUAUUUUGUCAUUUGACGUAAUUUUCCAAGAUCAAUUGUGCUAUUUAUAAUUUUCAAAAUAAUGUUAUAAAACGUGAAGCAUUCCAUUGCUCAUUUCCAAAUGCUAUGAAAAGUUUGAACUUUUUAUAGUGUUUUAAUAAUGCUAUAAAAAAAAGCAUUAUACUUCAAUAGCGUGGGUUGUCACAACCUUGCCAAAACACAGAUCAAUUAUAGCGUUUUUGUUUUAAAUUUUAACCUGUAGUGGAGAAGGAAAUCCGGCUAGUUAAUUAGAAGACAAUUGUGACCAUGUACCAUGAAUUCUUUGUUUAGAAGAGGCCUCCUAAAACUAGGAUUCCAACAUUGUAUAGAUUCGUUCCAAGCUGCUUAUUCUUGCACAGUGAUAUAUAUUGUUUUGAUGCAUAAUAUAUAUAACCAAAGUAUCAAAUAAUUUUUUAAUCUGGGUCCAUGGAGCUUUUGCAGUUUGCUCUACUGAGUUUGCAAAGAUUUAGGAUGGAGCUUUUGCAUGUAUAAAUCAAUAAUGUCCACAACUGAUUGGGUUCACUGUGAUAGCACCAAAUCCAUUUACCAACCAAGCUAAGAGCCAUUGUUAACCUCAAGUGACAUCCUUCUUUUCAAAUUCUUGAUCUUUUAGGGAAUAUUUAUGGGUGUAAGUAAUAUUAUAGUGAACUAUAUUUGCCACAUUCACAAUUAUUUAUUUCGUAACUGGAAGAUCAUUUUGGUUCUCUCUCAUAUAUCUGCAUACUGAAUAUGUUAUCAGCUAGACUCCCAGGCUAUAUACAUUGAGCAACACAAGAUCUGACUUGUAGAUAAUACUCAUCUUUAUCAUCUCAAUAUACAUUACUUUAGCAAUAUAUAUCUUAUUAUUUUAUAUCGAGAUAUGGUUUGCUUGUAAGUUUGGAUGAUCACAUGGAACCAUUAUGUUUUGCCCAUCUUCAAUUUAUAGUAUCAUUAUUUAAUUUUACUUCUAUGUUUCCAUAAUGAGAAAUGAUAUUAUUUUUCGUACUUUGUGUGGAAAUGAUAUAACCUCGAGAUCUCUUUUUAAAUAGGAUAUUGAUUCCAUUUGAAAUUCUUGCUGUGGCUUUAAGAAUAUUAUACUAAACAAUUCCAAUUAUUUAUAAAUUACAUCUUGCAUUUAAAAAUAUCUAUAAUUACACCCUUCCACACUAAAAUAUGAUUUAUUUAAAACUAAUUUUUAUAAAUAUAACUGAUCGACAAAAUAUCUUUAACAAAAUAAUAAAGUUGAUGAAGCUUACCACUUUUUUGUAAAUAUUUUUUUUUCAGGUUUGUUAUUCAUUUUCAUCGUCUUUCUUCUCUUCUUCUUCUACAAUUUUUUUUUCAUCAUUUUUCUUUUUUUCUUCUACAAUUUUUCUUUUAUUUUUUUUUCAAACUAUUAUUUGGUUCAAGAUCAUAUACCAAAUAUAAAAUAUUUGUUUUUUAAUUAUUUUUUCAAACUGUUUAUUUAGUUGUCGAAGAUCAUGUACCAAAUAUAAAAAAAUAUUGAAAAAAAAAAACGCUGUACCAAAUAUAAACGAUUGUGUAUUAAAAAUAUUUUAAAUCUAAACUUGUAACAAAGAAUCUUUACAAAGAUUGUUUAGACAAAAAUAAAUGAUCGUGUAGCCAAAUCUAAACAAUCGUGCAACAAAAAAUCUUGAAAAAAUCAUUUAGCUAAAUAUAAAUGUAACCAAAUCUAAAUGAUAUGUAACAAAUAUAUUUAUUACGCGCAUGUAACCAAAUCUAAACGAUAGUGUAGCAAAGAGCUCUUGAAAAAAAAAUUGUUUAGAUUUAGCUACCAAAAUCUAAAUGGUCGUGUACCAAACAAUAACUAAAUCUAAACAAUUGUGUACAAAUAUAUUUAUUACGUGUAUUGUUGACGGAAGCAUUUUUUGUAUCUUCUAUUGUAGGUCUGGGCUUUUUCUGUUUUCAAAAUUGUUCUAUGUAAAUAUUUAUGGUUUUUAUGUAUCAAAAUGAAAAAAGCUAAUCAUUCUUUUAAAAUUUUCCAGAUUUGGCAUUUCUUUUUCUCAUCUUUCUUAUCUUUCUCUUCUGCGAUUUUUUUUCUCUCCAUUGUCUUUUCUUCUUGUGCCAUUUUUUUUUUCAAACUCUUAUUUGGUUUAAGAUCGUGUACCAAAUAUAAAAAAUCUAUAUAUAUAUUUUCAAAUUGUUGGUUGUUCAAGAUCAUCUACUGAUCUUGAAUAACCAAUCGUUUGAAAAAAAAAAUGAUUAAUUUUCCAGAUUUGGCAUUUCUUUUCCUCAUCUUUCUUAUCUUUCUCUUCUGCGAUUUUUUUUCUCUCCAUCGUCUUUUCUUCUUGUGCCAUUUUUUUUUCAAACUCUUAUUUGGUUUAAGAUCGUGUACCAAAUAUAAAAAAUCUAUAUAUAUAUUUUCAAAUUGUUGGUUGUUCAAGAUCAUCUACUGAUCUUGAAUAACCAAUCGUUUGAAAAAAAAAUGGCUAACCAACAGAUUUGUCUCUUGCUUGGGGCUUGUCUCUAGCCCUUUGUAUUUUGUUUGGGUUGUUUCCUUGGUUCUCAUGUAUUACUUUCCAUAUAUUAAUGAAGCAGGGAUGAUGAAGGUGCUUAAAGGAGUGUCCACCUAGUGGAGAUGUCCGGGUGCACCUACUGACUCAUCGUAUCAUUUUUCAAAAAAACAAAAAAGAUCGUCUACGGAUCUUUAAAAAAAAUGCGGUCAAAUCUAAAUGAUCGUAUAAAAAAAAUCAAAUUUAAAUAAUUGUAUAAAAAAAAUCAAAUCUAAAUGAUCAUGUACAAAUAAUCCUAAAAAAACCGUUUAGAUUUGGGUAGUUAAAGGUAAAUGAUAAAAUCUAAACGAUCGUAUACCGAAAAAAUAUUUUAAAAAAUCGUUUAGAAAUAGUCAAUUCUAAACUAUCAUAUACCAAACAAUUUCGAAGAAAAUUCAUUUAGAUGGAUCAAAUCUAAACAAUCAUGUAGGAAAAGAAAUAGCCAAAAUCUAAAUGAUCAUGUCCAAAUAUAUUACGCUGACGUCAACUAAUCACAAGUCAUUUUUUAUAUUUUCUAUGUGAGUUUUUUUCAAUUUUGAAAUUGUUCUAUAAUGUAAAUAUUUCAGCGUUUUGUUCUUUAAAAAAAAAUAUAUAUUUUCAAAUACCCCUUUGUUUUACAUACAUCCUAAAGACUAAAUUAUUGAAAUUCAAACAAGUCAAAUAUUUUGGGCAGAAAUGAACAAAAAAAAAUCUUUUCAAAUUCUUGAUUUUUUAGGGAACAUUAGUAUAUUUAUGGGUGUAAGUAAUAUUAUAGUGAACUAUAUUUGUCACAUUCACAAUUAUUUAUUUCUUAAUAGGAUAUUGAUUCAAUUAGAAAUUCUUGUUGUGGCUUUCACAAUAUCAUACUAACAUGUAAAAUCAUGUGGAAUCUUAAACUAAACAAUUCCAAUUAUUUAUAAAUUAAACAAGUACUUACAUCUUCCAUUUAAAAAUAUCUAUAACUACAUCUAUGACACACCCUGCACUACAAAAUAUAAUUAAUUUGACGUUAAUUUUUAUAAAUAUAACAAAUCGAUAAAAUAUUUAUAUCUGUAUAAUAAAAUGAAAAAGCACAUAAAACUGACUAUAUUUUUUUUUUAAUAUUUCAAGGUUGUUCUUCCUUUUCAUAUCUUUUUUUGUUCAAUUUUUUUCUUUCAAAUGGUCAUUUGGUUCAAGAUCGUGUACUAGUUUUAUAUUUUUUUUAAACUGUCAUGUAGUUGUUGUACCAAAUAUAGAUAUUGGAAGAAAAAGGAGAUACGCUUGCAAAAGUAGCAAAAAAUUUAUGAUAAUAGGACACAUAUCACUAUAUUUUAUAAAUUAUAAAAGUAGAAAAUUUAAAAGCCGACAACUCACUUUUAAUAGUUCUGAUAGCUGUCUGAUAUCACUAAUUUUGUCAUAUUAACAAUAUGAAGAAAAAAAAAAGUGUCCUAGACUGUUUUUUUCUAAAUGUGUUUGUCAUCUGAUAUAAUUUUCCAAAAUGAAUGUUGUACAAAUCUAAAUGAGAACCAAAACUAUUUUUUUCCAAAUCUAAACUAUUGCGUAAGAUAAAAUAUUCUUUUUUAAAAAAUUGUUUUUAUUUGGAUAACGUACAAAAAAAAAUGAUCGUGUAACCAAAUCUAAACGUACCGAAUAAUCCUAAAAAAGAUCAUUUAGCCAAACAAUCUAAAAAAAUUGUUUAGCCAAGUCUAAAUGAUCUUCUAAACAAUGAAUCCAGAAAGAAAAAAAAUCUUUUAGAUAAAUGCUUUUUUACCACUAGGUCAAACCCACGAUGGUUCAUACCAUAUAUUUAAUAUAAAGGAAUAUCUCUAAUGUGUCACAGGCCAAAAAUUGAUGAUGAAAAAAAAAAACCUUCUAGAGAUAACUGCUUGUGAAUAUAACACGAUCAAUCUAAACUUCAUUUGGGUAAUGGCAAGGACCACUUCUGUGAAAUGUAGUGAAAGUUGUAAUUACACUCUUAAUGAGUCGAUAUUAAUUAUACAAAUUGAAUCCACAAAUCAUAAAAUUUGAACAUAAAAUUAUUACAAUAUGGAAGUAUGAAUAUCCAAUUUGAACACUAAUUAACCUACACGUUUGAAUUAAUUUUUGCAAUUUUAACACUAACCAUGUAUAAGUGCAACUAUCACCUUACAAUUAUAACACAAAUUUUAUCAUCGUUAUUUUUGGCCUUCUUGCUUUCUCUUAUAUUCCUUACUUUAUGCUUCUACACCCUUAACAAAUUAUAAAUUUAUGGGUCUAAGAAGUAGGGUUUAUUUAUUAGUUCUAUUGGAUUCAAAAGUUCGAGUUUGAGGCUUUGGUUUCAUUUCACUAUUAAUUACCUCUUUCUCUUUAUUAGUUCAAAUUUAUGGGUAUUUCAAUUUUAGGGUGACAGGCCAUUUUAAAUACAUCCAACUUUUUUUAAAAAAUAAUAUUAACUACUUCCUAAAUCAUUCAAGUUUUUUUUUUCAUUUUGCUAUAUCUAAAAUAGCCUUAGUUAGAGAAAUAGGUAAAAAGAAAAACAAGAAAUCAGUUUAAAAAAAUGUUCUUAAAAGAAGAAUAUAAUAAAAAAAAUUAGAGAGGAAGUUUGGAGAGAGUGAACAAAAUAGAGAGAGAGAAAUGGACAAAAGUUUUUAAAACUAAAAAUAAAAAACACCAAAAAAAUGGGGAAAAAUUAAUAAAGUGAAAUAAAUAGGAGAGAUUUUUUUUUUUCUUUUAAUAUGAGAAUAGUUUUCUUAUAAAGAAAAAAAAUCACCAACAAUCCCAUAUAAAAAAUCUCAUAGAAUAACCCCUCAAAGUGAUUGGUAAUUAAGGAAACAUCACAACUUUAGUAUUAAAAGUGAUUGUAAAGGAUAAAAUUGUAAAAAUAUUUAUAAAUAUAAUAAAAUUUUACUAUUUAUUUAUGAUGGCUAUAUCGAACCAAAUAAAUUGCGUCUCUAUCAUAUUUUAGUGAUAGAUAUUGAUUUAAAUCUAUUUCCUAAUAUACAAAUAAUGGGUAUAAAAUUGGAAUGAUAUAAAAAAUAUAAUAAUCAAAUUACAUAUAUUUUGCCUAAAUUUAGAAAAAGAUUGUUUGAUUUUUAAAGUAUAUCCUCAUAUAUGUCAUCUUAAUACCAAAUUUAGCAAACAGAAAUAGAGUAAAGAUAAACUCAAGAAACCAAUGUGUAAUUUCUUAACACACACAAAGUUAAGGUUAGGCAACAAAGAAACACUCAUCCACACAUACCUUUUAUUAUAAUCUUUUGAGUCCCCUUAGAUUUGCCUUCACAUAAUCUAACUCCUCCCAUUCAAACAUUACCUCCCAUACAACACAAAGUGAAACUAAAUCAACACAUCAAAUUAAAUCACUCUCUC
RNAcentral lists this long non-coding RNA (22816 nucleotides) under Cucumis sativus (cucumber). RNAcentral describes it as "long non-coding RNA (CSAT_LNC002223)". The record is from RNAcentral. Lineage: Eukaryota; Viridiplantae; Streptophyta; Magnoliopsida; Cucurbitales; Cucurbitaceae.